RNAcentral lists this ribosomal RNA (495 nucleotides) under uncultured bacterium. Its description in RNAcentral is "bacterial SSU rRNA". It matches the Rfam family "Bacterial small subunit ribosomal RNA", at positions 33 to 507 of the family's 1533-position model. The record is from RNAcentral.
GAACGACGCUGGCGGCGGGCCUCAUACAUGCAAGUCGAGCGCGAAAGUCCGCAAGGAUGAGUAAAGCGGCGCACGGGUGAGUAACACGUGGGUAAUCUACCUUUUGGAUUGGAAUAACCUGUCGAAAGACGGGCUAAUGCCGAGUAAGCCUUCUUGAACGUGAAGUUCGAGACGGGAAAGAUGGCGCAAGCUAUCGCCGAAAGAUGAGCCUGCGUCCCAUUAGUUAGUUGGUGGGGUAAUGGCUUACCAAGACAAUGAUGGGUACCUGGUUUUGAGAGAAUGAUCAGGCACACUGGAACUGAAACACGGUCCAGACUCCUACGGGAGGCAGCAGUAGGGAAUAUUGCGCAAUGGACGAAAGUCUGACGCAGCCACGCCGCGUGAGUGAGGAAGGCCUUCGGGUUGUAAAGCUCUGUCGGCUGGGAAAAACGGCUAUCCGGGGAAAGUUCGGGUAGCGUGAUGGUACCAGCAAAGGAAGCACCGGCAAACUCUGUG